UCUGUAGCAAUACAGGGAAAAGUCUAGCGGCGAACGGGUGCUUAACACGUGGGCAACCUGCCGAAAAGUGGGGGAUAGCUCGCCGAAAGGCGAAUUAAUACCGCAUGUGAUCAGAGUGGACAUCCAUUCAAAAUCAAAGUCGGGGCAACCUGACGCUUUUUGAGGGGCCCGCGGCCUAUCAGCUAGUUGGUGAGGUAACGGCCCACCAAGGCUUUGACGGGUAGCUGGUCUGAGAGGACGACCAGCCACACUGGGACUGAGACACGGCCCAGACACCUACGGGUGGCAGCAGUCGAGAAUUUUUCUCAAUGGGGGAAACCCUGAAGGAGCGACGCCGCGUGGAGGAUGAAGGUCUUCGGGUUGUAAACUCCUGUCAUUUGGGAACAAUGCGUAAAUAUUAACUGUAUUUGCGUUGAUAGUACCAGAAGAGGAAGAGACGGCUAACUCUGUGCCAGCAGCCGCGGUAAUACAGAGGUCUCAAGCGUUGUUCGGAUUCAUUGGGCGUAAAGGGUGCGUAGGCGGCGCGGUAAGUCGGGUGUGAAAUCUUGGAGCUUAACUCCGAAACUGCAUUCGAUACUGCCGUGCUUGAGGACUGGAAAGGAGACUGGAAUUCACGGUGUAGCA
Molecule: ribosomal RNA, 624 nt
Filed under: uncultured Verrucomicrobiota bacterium
Lineage: Bacteria; Pseudomonadati; Verrucomicrobiota
Description: bacterial SSU rRNA
Rfam family: Bacterial small subunit ribosomal RNA
Source: RNAcentral